This 505-nucleotide ribosomal RNA is filed under the name uncultured bacterium. RNAcentral describes it as "partial 16S ribosomal RNA". It matches the Rfam family "Bacterial small subunit ribosomal RNA", at positions 28 to 507 of the family's 1533-position model. The record is from RNAcentral.
GACGAACGCUGGCGGCGUGCCUGAUACAUGCAAGUAGAACGCACAGUUUAUACCGUAGCUUGCUACACCAUAGACUGUGAGUUGCGAACGGGUGAGUAACGCGUAGGUAACCUGCCUGGUAGCGGGGGAUAACUAUUGGAAACGAUAGCUAAUACCGCAUAAUAUUAAUUAUUGCAUGAUAAUUAAUUGAAAGGUGCAAUUGCACCACUACCAGAUGGACCUGCGUUGUAUUAGCUAGUAGGUGAGGUAACGGCUCACCUAGGCGACGAUACAUAGCCGACCUGAGAGGGUGAUCGGCCACACUGGGACUGAGACACGGCCCAGACUCCUACGGGAGGCAGCAGUAGGGAAUCUUCGGCAAUGGACGAAAGUCUGACCGAGCAACGCCGCGUGAGUGAAGAAGGUUUUCGGAUCGUAAAGCUCUGUUGUAAGAGAAGAACGGGUGUGAGAGUGGAAAGUUCACACUGUGACGGUAUCUUACCAGAAAGGGACGGCUAACUACGUG